UACGUAGGGGGCAAGCGUUGUUCGGAAUUACUGGGCGUAAAGGGCGCGUAGGCGGCACGGCAAGUCAGGAGUGAAAGCCCUGGGCUCAACCCGGGAACUGCUUUUGAAACUGCCGAGCUAGAGUGCGGAAGGGGCAACUGGAAUUCCCAGUGUAGCGGUGAAAUGCGUAGAUAUCAGGAGGAACACCGAUGGCGAAGGCAGGUCUCUGGGCUGAAACUGACGCUCAUGCACGAAAGCGUGGGGAGCAAACAGG
RNAcentral lists this ribosomal RNA (253 nucleotides) under uncultured bacterium. RNAcentral's name for it is "partial 16S ribosomal RNA". It matches the Rfam family "Bacterial small subunit ribosomal RNA", at positions 524 to 776 of the family's 1533-position model. The record is from RNAcentral.